Molecule: long non-coding RNA, 608 nt
Organism: Cygnus olor (mute swan)
Lineage: Eukaryota; Metazoa; Chordata; Aves; Anseriformes; Anatidae
Exons: 3
Source: RefSeq, a predicted model, not a curated record
AAAACUUUGGGUUUUGGGGGUACCCCGAGGGAAAACGUUGUGUUUUGGAGGUGCCCGGAGGGAAAAUGGUGGGGUUUGGGGGUGCCCAGAGGGAAAAUGGCAGGUUUUGGGGGUGCCCAGAGGGGGAACGGCGGGUUUUGGGGGUGCCCAGAGGGAAAAUGGUGGGGUUUGAGGGUGCCCAGAGGGAAAACGGCGGUUUUUGGGGGUGCCCGGAGGGAAAAUGGUGCAUUUAGUGGUGUCUGGAUGAAAAGCAGCAUGCUUUGAGGGUGCGCAGCUAAAAAACAGCAAGUUUGAGGGGCACACGGAGAGAAAACAGCAUAUUUUGGGGACACUCGGAUAGAAGACAGCACUUUUUUUUUUUUUAAAGGUGCUGGGAAGGAAAGUGGGACAUUUUGUGGAUUUUUAGACAAAGUAGGGAAUUUAAGGGUGCAGGGAAGGUGAGCAGCGUGUUGGAGCCCUCUCCUUCCCCCCCAAAAAAAAUUACAGAAAUCCCCUCAGGACAAGCAGGAAGCGAAGAAACCCCCCCAGAACCCCCCGGUGGAGCCUGGGGGGGGGGGGGGGUCUCGGGGCGACCCCCCCGGGUGUUCCCCCCCCCCGCCCCCAACCAU